AGAUUAUCAUGGCCCCUGCACAAGCAUGACAUGAAAAUUUAUGAAGCAAAAAAAAAUUUA
Molecule: small nuclear RNA, 60 nt
Filed under: Octodon degus (degu)
Lineage: Eukaryota; Metazoa; Chordata; Mammalia; Rodentia; Octodontidae
Source: RNAcentral